Molecule: ribosomal RNA, 425 nt
Filed under: uncultured bacterium
Lineage: Bacteria
Description: partial 16S ribosomal RNA
Rfam family: Bacterial small subunit ribosomal RNA
Source: RNAcentral
GUAGGGAAUCUUGCGCAAUGGGCGAAAGCCUGACGCAGCCAUGCCGCGUGAAUGAUGAAGGUCUUAGGAUUGUAAAAUUCUUUCACCGGGGGCGAUAAUGACGGUACCCGGAGAAGAAGCCCCGGCUAACUUCGUGCCAGCAGCCGCGGUAAUACGAAGGGGGCUAGCGUUGCUCGGAAUUACUGGGCGUAAAGGGAGCGUAGGCGGAUAGUUUAGUCAGAGGUGAAAGCCCAGGGCUCAACCUUGGAAUUGCCUUUGAUACUGGCUAUCUUGAGUAUGGAAGAGGUAUGUGGAACUCCGAGUGUAGAGGUGAAAUUCGUAGAUAUUCGGAAGAACACCAGUGGCGAAGGCGACAUACUGGUCCAUUACUGACGCUGAGGCUCGAAAGCGUGGGGAGCAAACAGGAUUAGAUACCCUAGUAGUCC